AUCCGCUGAAGAAUAUGGUUUCCAGUAUGUGUGCUUGUUAGUAGGAGGAGGAUGCGUACCUAAAAUGGCGAGUGCAGGCGAUUCGCAUCGAAAAAGGGACCAGACUCCUAGAAUGUGUUUGUCUUUGGGAGUUUGCGUGCGUCCGAAGGGGUACGUCUCCGGGUGACGCUAUCACAAGGACAAGUGCUGGAGCGGUUGCUUGCCCCCGGGUGGUCGUUACCUGCGUUUGGUUGUGCGUGCUCGUGAUCAACGUGCCUGGGGAUAAACGUCAGCGGGGUAUGUGCAAGCAGCUGACGCAGGACCUGCAAUGGUAUACCUGCAGGAUACCUUGCGGGUGCGUGAGCUGUCUGCGUGCUUGCCCCGGGCAAACCAGCUAAUGGACGCGUCGUCUUGGGCACUAGUGCGUGCCGCACUGCGGAACUGGCUGAGCUCUGAACGCACUUGAGCUUACGUCACGUAUUGAUUUUAGGAAAUGUUUUCGCAAAAGCGCCUUGCACUCCGCACACCCGCAAAACGAUCACCGGCGUGCGUGAUGCGCGUUCGGCAAGCGGGUUCACUUUAGCAGCUCGCGUUCGCCGAGGUACCUGUUUGGCUGGGAAACGCAUACUCGACGGAUUCUUCCCAGACAGGUUCGCAGCUCGGCAAGAUUAACGGACAUCUUUUAAGCGCUGAACUGUGCGGAUACGAGCGCAGCAUUGCACGACGCUCGUUCCGGUACUUGCCAGUUCAGCGUUUCGCUUGGUGUCGACAGGCUUCCGAACGCACCACAAGCCUCGUUUCCAAGACGGAGGCUUGUGGAGGCAAUGAAUUCGCUGUGCGAACGUCUUGCUGCAAACCGACUGUCCAGACAUGAUCCAUGUAGUGAGGAUGCGUUCAAGGAGCAGGCCGUAUGCGCCCGAGCAUGCCGUCGCGUGCACCGACGAGCGCGUUCAUCAAAGCCUCGCGUCCACGGAGGAAGACCAUCGCUCGUAUUUACUGACGGACUGCGUAUUGGCAUCUCGAGUAGUUUUGCCGUUCACGGCCAUUGAAUGUUCACCAUGACAUCUCCGUCAGUCGACAUUCGAUGCUCGACGGAGGCGAUUGCCGGGACGGGUUCACUCGGGAUGCGAGUGGCGGCGCGUUCGUCUUGGCAAGAACGAUACCUUGAGGCAGGAAAUAUGAACUUACCCAACGCUUUACCUAAAAUUCGUCCCAGAAUGUCAUGAGCGCCUCGGCCAACCGGUAGUACGUCUCGCGAAGAUGCCGGAGUUGGCGGCCGACAUGCCGUGCUCCGCGCACGUGCUCGUCGUACACCCGGGGAUCAAUGCCGGACUUGUUCGUGGCCCGCAAAACUGCGUUAUGCUCCGCCAAGCGUGUGUGUCGCACUUGGAUCUGCUGAAACACAUUCUGCAUGGCGAGCAGACACACACGAACGACGUUGCGCUGGAUCGCAUCAAGGUCGACGUGCCAGCCGCCUUCGAGAUCCAGCCAAGAUGCACCGGUUGGCGUGUCGCUCUGUGUCAUGGAGUUUCGGUAGCUGUCCUCGAGGUCAGGUGCGUAUGCACCAUCUGGAGACAAACACAGUGUCGACGUUGGGUCUGGGGAUCCAGAAUCUAACGCGCUCGGCGUUACGUCGAUACCUGAACGUGAAGAAGCGAAUCCAGGUCCGAUCGCACGCUCCGUUUUCUGCCUGAGCUCCAAGUCCGGCUCAUGAUCUGCAGCAGACGACUGAGCUCCGUUACGCCAAGAGCCGGGAAACGGUUCUCGUGGCAGAGAGAUUGGUACCGCGGUUACAGCACUGGUUAGGUGGUCUCCGAGGGAAAUCCAGCCGUCCUGAAAAAGAUAAAAA
RNAcentral lists this unclassified non-coding RNA (1828 nucleotides) under Cyanidioschyzon merolae strain 10D. Its description in RNAcentral is "hypothetical transcript". Lineage: Eukaryota; Rhodophyta; Bangiophyceae; Cyanidiales; Cyanidiaceae. The record is from RNAcentral.